AUGAACGCUGGCGGCGUGCCUAAUACAUGCAAGUCGAGCGAACAGACGAGGAGCUUGCUCCUCUGACGUUAGCGGCGGACGGGUGAGUAACACGUGGAUAACCUACCUAUAAGACUGGGAUAACUUCGGGAAACCGGAGCUAAUACCGGAUAAUAUAUUGAACCGCAUGGUUCAAUAGUGAAAGACGGUUUUGCUGUCACUUAUAGAUGGAUCCGCGCCGCAUUAGAUAGUUGGUAAGGUAACGGCUUACCAAGGCAACGAUGCGUAGCCGACCUGAGAGGGUGAUCGGCCACACUGGAACUGAGACACGGUCCAGACUCCUACGGGAGGCAGCAGUAGGGAAUCGUCCGCAAUGGGCGAAAGCCUGACGGAGCAACGCCGCGUGAGUGAUGAAGGCCUUCGGAUCGUAAAACUCUGUUAUUAGGGAAGAACAAAUGUGUAAGUAACUAUGCACGUCUUGACGGUACCUAAUCAGAAAGCCACGGCUAACUACGUG
This 496-nucleotide ribosomal RNA is filed under the name uncultured bacterium. RNAcentral's name for it is "partial 16S ribosomal RNA". It matches the Rfam family "Bacterial small subunit ribosomal RNA", at positions 29 to 507 of the family's 1533-position model. The record is from RNAcentral.